UGUAAAAAUGAGACAGUGGUGUUCCCAAGG
RNAcentral lists this non-coding RNA (30 nucleotides) under Mus musculus (house mouse). Lineage: Eukaryota; Metazoa; Chordata; Mammalia; Rodentia; Muridae. The record is from RNAcentral.